RNAcentral lists this non-coding RNA (28 nucleotides) under Rattus norvegicus (Norway rat). The record is from RNAcentral. Lineage: Eukaryota; Metazoa; Chordata; Mammalia; Rodentia; Muridae.
UCAGUAUAAUAUAUAUCAGUGUGUCAUA